GGGAGUAUAGCUCAGUGGCGGAGCAUUCGACUACAGAUUGAGAUGUCGGUAGUUCAACUCCGUGUACGUCCUA
Molecule: non-coding RNA, 73 nt
Organism: Parelaphostrongylus tenuis
Lineage: Eukaryota; Metazoa; Nematoda; Chromadorea; Rhabditida; Metastrongylidae
Source: the annotation of a GenBank genome assembly